Molecule: transfer RNA, 66 nt
Filed under: Lepidonotus sp. YZ-2018
Lineage: Eukaryota; Metazoa; Annelida; Polychaeta; Phyllodocida; Polynoidae
Description: tRNA-Met
Source: RNAcentral
GGUUAAGUAAGCUAAACCUAAGCUAGUGGGCUCAUACCCCGAUAAUGAGAUUAUUCUCCUUAACCA